ACUCAAACAAGCAAGCUUAAUUUGAGCAAAACCAAUCAAGAAUGGCAGCAACCCAAAUCCCAGAGGUGGUUCUAGAAUCUUCCAACGGCCGCAGGACCAUGCAUGUGCUUGGCUUCGGCACAGCAUCCAACAACUUACAACCACAAGUGUUGAUCGAAGCAGUUCACGAGGCCAUCAAGCUCGGUUACCGCCACUUCGACACAGCUUCAGUUUACGGAUCAGAGCAGAGUCUUGGAGCAGCCAUAGCACAAGCACUCGAGCUCGGCCUCGUGGCUUCUCGGGACCAGCUCUUCAUCACUUCCAAGGUUUGGUGUAAUGAUGCUCACCCUCACCUAGUCAUUCCUGCUCUCAAGAAAUCGCUCCGGAAUCUUGGCUUGGAGUACCUUGAUCUCUAUCUGAUCCACUGGCCUAUCAGUGCCAAGCCUGCCGAGUUGAGUCAGAUAGAGGACAAGGACCCAAUGCCGACGGAGGAAGAGCAAAUGCCGAUGGACUUCAAGGGUGUGUGGGCUACUAUGGAGGAAGCUCAGAGACUUGGCCUCACACCAAGUCCAUUGGAAUCAGCAAUUUCUCUACCAAGAAGACUCAGCAUAUGCUCUCUUUCGCUACCAUUCCUCCUGCUGUCAAUCAAGUUGAGAUGAGCCCAUUUUGGCAACAGAAGAAGCUGAGGAACUUCUGCAAGGCCAAUGGUAUACUUGUGACUGCCUUCUCCCCAUUGGGUGCCAUAGGAACCAGUUGGGGCGCUAAUCAUGUUCUCGAAAGCAAAGUGCUUAAUGAAAUCGCCGAGGCUCAUGGGAAGUCUGUUGCUCAGAUUUGUAUCGGAUGGGUUUAUCAGGUGGGGGCAACUCUUGCAGUGAAGAGCUACAACAAGGAGAGGUUGAAGCAGAAUGUGCAGGUGUUCGACUGGGAACUAACAGAAGACGACCUUGAGAAGAUCAAUCAAAUCCCACAGCGCAAACAGAUGACUCGAGAAGAAGAAUUGGUUACGGCUACUGGACCUUACAAGUCCCUUGAUGACUUGUGGGACGGAGAGUACUAAUUUUGCUCUUUAUGAAAAUGUAUGUCUGUAUCAAAAUAAGGGUGCCAACUAGGUUAUGUAUCUAUGGCAUGCAUUGUAUCAAAAUUGGCAUCCAGAAUUUGUUUGCAAACAUGCAUGGAUCCAAAACUCUGUUCUUGAAGCUGAUCGAGCUGCGGGGCUUGUUCAAUUCUAUGGUCUCUAGCAAGCUUUGGGAUAACGAUAUAAGAUAUAUAAAAGUUGGG
Fragaria vesca subsp. vesca is the source of this 1257-nucleotide RNA transcript. It is a transcript of the gene named non-functional NADPH-dependent codeinone reductase 2-like, with no coding region annotated. Lineage: Eukaryota; Viridiplantae; Streptophyta; Magnoliopsida; Rosales; Rosaceae. The record is from RefSeq and is a predicted model, not a curated record. The transcript is spliced from 3 exons.